Molecule: ribosomal RNA, 968 nt
Filed under: Butyricimonas virosa
Lineage: Bacteria; Pseudomonadati; Bacteroidota; Bacteroidia; Bacteroidales; Odoribacteraceae
Description: bacterial SSU rRNA
Rfam family: Bacterial small subunit ribosomal RNA
Source: RNAcentral
GGGGCAGCACGGUGUAGCGAUACACUGGUGGCGACCGGCGCACGGGUGAGUAACACGUGUGCAACCAACCCCGUACCGGGAGAUAACCCGCGGAAACGUGGACUAACAUCCCAUGAGACUCUAGAGCCGCAUGGCUCUAGAUUUAAAAUUCCGGUGGUACGGGACGGGCACGCGCGACAUUAGGUAGUUGGCGGGGUAACGGCCCACCAAGCCGACGAUGUCUAGGGGUUCUGAGAGGAAGGUCCCCCACACUGGAACUGAGACACGGUCCAGACUCCUACGGGAGGCAGCAGUGAGGAAUAUUGGUCAAUGGGCGAGAGCCUGAACCAGCCAAGUCGCGUGAGGGAAGAAUGGUCUAUGGCCUGUAAACCUCUUUUGUCAAGGAAGAAUAAGGAGGACGAGUCAUUCGAUGCCAGUACUUGACGAAUAAGCAUCGGCUAACUCCGUGCCAGCAGCCGCGGUAAUACGGGGGAUGCGAGCGUUAUCCGGAUUUAUUGGGUUUAAAGGGCGCGUAGGCGGGACGGCAAGUCAGCGGUAAAAGACUGCAGCUAAACUGUAGCACGCCGUUGAAACUGUUGACCUCGAGACGAGACGAGGGAGGCGGAACAAGUGAAGUAGCGGUGAAAUGCAUAGAUAUCACUUGGAACCCCGAUAGCGAAGGCAGCUUCCCAGGCUCGAUCUGACGCUGAUGCGCGAGAGCGUGGGUAGCGAACAGGAUUAGAUACCCUGGUAGUCCACGCCGUAAACGAUGCUCACUGGAUCUUGGCGAUACACGGCCAGGGUUCAAGCGAAAGUAUUAAGUGAGCCACCUGGGGAGUACGUCGGCAACGAUGAAACUCAAAGGAAUUGACGGGGGCCCGCACAAGCGGAGGAACAUGUGGUUUAAUUCGAUGAUACGCGAGGAACCUUACCCGGGUUUAAAUGUGGAGUGCAUGAUCUGGAAACAGUUCUUUCCCUCGGGACUCUUC